Molecule: non-coding RNA, 74 nt
Organism: Podarcis lilfordi (Lilford's wall lizard)
Lineage: Eukaryota; Metazoa; Chordata; Lepidosauria; Squamata; Lacertidae
Source: the annotation of a GenBank genome assembly
GCCUGGGAUAGUUCAACUGAUAGAGCAUGAGACUCUUAAUCACCUGGUUGUGGGCUUGAGCCCCACAUUGGGCA